UUUUUCUUUUUUUUUUUUUUCUUUUUAUGGCUGCACCUGUGGCACAUGGAAGUUCCUGGGCUAGGGGUCAAAUGGGAGCUGCAGCUGGCAGCCUACACCACAGCUAUGGCAAGACCAGAUCCGAGCCACAUUUGCAACCUGUGCUGCAGCUUGCAGCAAUCCAGAAGCUUAACCCAUUGAACGAGGCCAGGGAUGGAACCCCCAUCCUCACAGACAUUAGGUCAGGUUCUUAAACCACUGAGCCACAGCAGGAGCUCCUGAAUUACACUCUUAACUAAGUCUUCUGAGCAGAAUGGGAGCCCCUUCUAAGAAGUCUGGAUUCUCCAUGGACUGAUGGCUGCCUCUCUGCAUUCCUGGUUUGAACUUGCAAGAGUCCUCUUCACUCUGUCCUGAGCUGGGAUUUUGACACUGGGCUCACUGCCUCAUCUUUGAAACAAUCUUGCCUGUUACCUGCAGCCUUGGGAGGACUCAAUGGAUGUGGCAGGUCUGAGGGGGUGAACUUCACUUUGAUCUUGGGAGAGGGCACGUGUCUGUGCAUCUGGAAUAUUGCCAGCACCCAGCAAUCUCCUUGACAAAGCAUCACCUAGCCAUCCUGCCAAGAUAACAAUGUUUCUAUAUUCUAAACAAGCUUGUUUCUCUAUUCAAAAUAUUUCACGUGGUUUCAUAAAAGAAAAAAAAAUAAAAGCAGCUGAUCUCAUCUGAAGGCAGAGAGGACUAAAUUAUGUCAUAUUGUGUUAGAUCAUCCCUGGGGCUGAUUAACUGAUUGUCCCCAUGGUGGCCUAAGAAGUCAGUUGUGCUUGCAGCUGUGCUUAACAUAGAAACACUCCAGGAAUGCAUUCUAAUACCUUUGAAUGGUUUGCUGUUUCCACAGGUUUUACAUCAUCUGAACUUCUCUAAGCCCUACGAGACAUGUUAGAUUAUGACUGUUUAAGAAAAGAGGAAACUAAGGCUCAGGAUCAAGUAAUGCACCUCAGGGCACAUCCCUGUUCUUCCUGCCCUCAAACUGCUGGCCUCUCUCAAGACUGGUAAACCUCCCUUUGACCCAAUGUCAACCUACAGUUCUGGAAACCAAGCACUCAGUGCUGCUAAACUACCCUCCUAAGAGCUUGCAAUGCCCUUGGUUCAAUGCCAUGACACUGCAUCAUCUCCAUGCACAGUGUGAGGGACAUGAUGGGCAAGGCCAUCUCCAAGUUUUCAUAAACUUCCCACCUUCUCUGGCUUAAGUAUCCUGGCAGAGAACACUGCCACACCCAUGCCUUCUCCUUUUUGUCCUCAUCCAACACUGCUGGAAACUGGACAAGUGGUCCUCAGAAAUCCUUCUGUGUCCAAGCUAUUGCCACUGGUAUUGGCCUUUAAGACAACUUGCUAAUAGGGAUUUGGUAACUGAGUUCUCAAUACCAAAAAUAACUUUGGCUAUACUGGAACACAGACAUUUUCCCCAGUUUGCUCCUCUGUAUACUAUAGACUGCUGAGCAUAGAACAAUUGUUGUGUAUUUUUACUUUCAGACAGUUAUUAUUCUCAAUCAUCUGGGCUGGGGGUAAGCUGGAAAAGGUUUUAAUUAGAAUAGCUAAUGGGUCUCGCCUCCACAAAGGCCAUUGCUUUUGGAAUUGAUGCACUUCUGGAAGAGGAAAUUCAUCUGCAUGGAAAUGCAGCAGAUGGGACUCAAGUAGGAUUCUUCUGAGUCCAUUUUUCUGGACCCUGAGAACUUAGGCCUAUGGAGAUUAAAUGUGAGAUUGAAGGACCUCUGACUCCCCGUGUCUGGACACUGUGCUUGGCUGUAAGAGAUUUAGACAGAAACCCAUGCCUCAGGGCUCCUAAUCUCAUGGUGGAGAUUGACUUGUGGAUACAGAGGACACUAAGAAACAACACACAUGCCACACUCUUCCAACACCUUAGCUUUGGUCAUACCUUGAACUCACACUCUUCCUGCAGCUGCAACAACACACCCAUGAGUCCCAUAUACAGUUAAUACACUCAGUCAUUCAUUCCCCAAACAAUUUUUGAAUACCUGUGAUGUCACACCUAUAAGAUGGAGCACAUUGGAAGCAGAAAUUUGCCUAUCUUGUUUGCCUCCCUAGCAGCUGGGAAAUAUUUGUUAAGUGGAUGAAUAAAUGAAUCAGUGGAUGAACAAAUGCAAGGCACUGGUCCUAGCUAAGUCCUUGAGAUACAGAGCUAACAGUCAAAGAACUAUUGGGUAAAGAAAUGAGUUCAGAACCAUGCUAUGGAAGCUUAGAGAAGGUAGUAAUUCUAACAGAGGUUGGGAGGCGUACCUAGAAAGAGUGCCGCAGAAACGCUAGAGAGGUCAGAACCUCUCACCUGUUCUCACACAUACACUUGGAAAAUACCUCAAAGGACAUUGCAUCUGAACAUGGCAUGGACCUUAGUGGAUUUUCACAACCACCCGUGAUGAGACAUCUUCCCAUUUGUAAACAGGAAAGCUGGAUCUCAGAGACUUGGAAAUUCUCUAAUGUCACCUAUUUCAUUAGUGUCUUUUCACUCAAAAGGUGUUUCUGUUAAGAAAAGAAAUCAUGUUUUGUUUCACUAUAGGAGGUCUUCCAAAAGCCAUAGCUUUACCCCCUCAUUUGAAACUAUAAUCCAGGUACAAAAGGCAGGCCUGGCAGGGGCACGUGAAGAAUCAUUCUGCCUCUCUGCAACCUAGGAAGCCACAAGCGUUGGCUGUCAUAUAUCUUUCCUACCGCUGCUGGUGACUUCUCAGGUGCCUUGAUUGCACCAAGCAGCUCAUCUGAGUCUGCUUAUCUUGAGUGAGAGUAAAGCUCAGAGGACAUAUUCCCGGAGGGGGGCCACCUCCCUCCAGGAAGGGGCUCACUUCCCCCUGUGUUAGCAGCUUCCUGGUUGUGAAAGAACCAUAGGAUUGCCGGGGCCUUUGGAGUGGAAAAGACCAGGAGCUUCAGAAUCAGACAGGUCUCUUUCCAAGUCCCAGUUCCACCAUUUUCCAGCUGCAUGUGCACUUGGGCAGUUUCCUUAUGCUCUUUGACCCUUGGUUUGUUAAUAUGGAAAAUGUGGCUGUAGAAAGACUCUAAGGGAACACAUAGAAACCCAAGGAAUGUAAUGAUGGUGACUACUAUUCAUUAUUAUCUCAGAGACGGAGGGAGUCACUGGUCUCAAACACCCCAUUUUCGCGUGCAAAAAUGUAGGCCCACGAGAUCAUGUUCCUUUUCUUUUCUUUUUUUUUUUUGGCAUUUCUUGGGCUGCUCCCACGGCAUAUGGAGGUUCCCAGGCUAGGGGUCGAAUCGGAGCUGUAGCCACCAGCCUAUGCUAGAGGCACAGCAACGCAGGAUCCGAGCCGCAUCUGCAACCUACACCACAGCUCAGGGCAACGCUGUAUCAUUAACCCACUGAGCAAGGGCAGGGAUUGAACCCGCAACCUCAUGGUUCCUAGUUGGAUUCGUUAACCACUGCGCCACGACGGGAACUCCUCAUGUUCCUUUUCUAAGGUCACAGACUCAGAAAGAUGGGGGCUUGAGAAAAUAAAGUCUUUUUUUUUUUUUUCCUAUUUUUCAAUUUUUCAGCUAAUUCUAGUUUUUUUGUUUGUUUGUUUUUUGUUUGUUUGUUUGUUUUGACCCAACCAUGGAGGGAGAAAAGCCAUCACAAUCCAGAAAUAAUUCUCAAGAUGGGGGGCUAGGUCAUCCAUAGCCCUGCCGACCAGCACAGCCCUGUGUGUCUGUGGGAGUUGCUGCCACACUCUUCUCUUUAUCCCCAUGAAAACACUUGAAUAGACCAAGACAUUUUCAGAAACAUUGACUGGGGACUAUGCAAGGCCCUUUCACCAGGAGAUGACUUUCACACAAGUGGAUACUUAUUGACAUCUCACGUGGCUCCCAUGAUCUUCUUUCCUGUCCAUUUGGCCCCUUCUGGUCUCACUCUCUGCACCAUAUUGAUCUCCCUGCUCUAUUUUCCAUGUAUUCCUCGCCUUUCAUGCCUACCCCGUUGCUUGGAGGUGGGGCCUGGUGGUGAAGGCGGAGAUCCCUGUUCCUUAUUACAAUAUUUAUGCUAGAUUAUGUCUUGCUCCAAGUCCUUUUAGGCUUUUGAAAAAUGUCUAUCGUCCUUGAUGUCCUUUUGGAGACCUUGUCACAUCCCUUCCUAGACUGACUGAGCACAGAGGGGUCAGGCCCCACCAUUAUGAUCCACAGCAUCACAAAAGCAAGCGAUCAUCCUUGAUAAUAGCUGCCAUUUAGAGAGCGCUCCUCCUGGGACUGUGGUGUAGAUGUUCUUUCUACCCACGAUCUACUUUAGCCAUCACAGUAACCAUGUGAGAGGAGUAUUUCUAACCCCAGCUUACAAGACAGGAAGCUGUGCUAAAUCAUACAGCUAGUGGGUGGCAGAGGUGAGACCCAAACUGUGAAUACAAAAGUCUGGCUCUUUCUGCUGCACCAAAAUAGCAUUCGGCAGAAUAUGACUGAGAGAUUUAUGAAAUAGAGGUGACACUAGCCUAAUGCAAGUCCCUCUAGGUUGCUCUUUCUUUACUGGUUGAAUCGAAGUGGUCUAAGCAUGUACAGGAAGUCUGUGUGCUGAGGAGCCUGCUAUUGGGUCAAUUCACUGAAUGUAUAGACUUAAUCUGGCAACAUUGGGUAACAUAUGAGCAGCCUAGGCUGGUAUAGGUAUGGAUGCUGUGGUCCUUGUGAACUUGAAAGGAUGGGGUUUUUGAAACUGGGAAGAUUCUAAAAUAAAAUACCUGGAGCAUUCUUCAUGAGGGUAUUGAAAGAGAAGACAUCAAAGGUGCUUUCAGAUUCUGGUGUUGUGCAAUUCUAAAUCCUACAGAUAUUCACUGUGACACUAAAUUUUAAUUAAAAGGACACUGAGGUCUAAUGAGUACCUCUUGUGGAGAUGAUAGAGUAGAACUGGGUGUGGGGUGAAGUGGGAGGGAGGAGAGUGGCACAAGCAACUAACAUUGACUCUGGAAUAAAGCUAUUUCAGUUUUUUGUCAGAACCAAGAGGCAUGAGUGCAUAUACAAUGGAAAGAGACCAGAUGUGAACAAAUGGGCUAAAAUUCAGAUGGGAAGAAUGAGUAAGGCGAAGGGCAAAUUUUCUGGGAUGCAGGGUUUAAAACAACUUAUGGAGUCUAAAAUUUUUUAGCACAUGUGACAAGUGCCCUCCUUCUUUUCUAGGGCAGCUGACACACUGUCCGAGCGGGAGACAAGAAAUGGAAGCCCGACACUCCCGCUGAUUGUCAGGAGGGCUCUAGGUACUGAACCACAGUGUCUUAAGGGAGGGUGGAGUGGGCUAGAAUGACGACGAUGACCCCCUACUGCAUAAUUGCUGCACUUCCCAGACCCCACCAAGGUCCAGUUUUGGAGAUGCCCUGGACACUCUUCUUUGAGAUUUUGACUUUUACUGUAGCUCAGGGCUCUGUCUUCCAAGCAGAUUCCUACAGAACAUUCAGACUGUCCAACAAAAGUUUUUUUUUUAGGGCUGCAUCCAUGGCAUCUGGAAGUUCCCAGGCUAGAAGUCGAAUAGGAGCUACCGCUGCAGGCCACAGCCACAGCCACAGCAACACCAGAUCCAAGUGGCAUAUGCAACCUAAACCACAGCUCAUGGCAAUGCUGGAUCCUUCACCCACUGAGGCCAGAGAUCGACCCCACAUCCUCAUGUUUACUAGUCGGGUUCAUUACUGCUGAGCCACAACGGGAACUCCCCAGCAGAGGAUUUUAACAUGUGAUGAAAAAGAAGGAUGGUGGCAGCAAUGAACAGUGCAGCAGAGGAGAGAGAAAAUCACUCCUAUCAAGGGAGGCAAAAUAAAAUCCUAUGAGGUGAGAACCCAAUAGCCCUGGAAUAAUCAAAGAAAUUCUACCUUUCCUGCAAGGAGAGCCAGCUUCAACCCUGCCUCUUACAUGGCUUUUAUUUUUAGCUAACUUUACAUUUUUUCCUGCUCCCCUCCCGAUGGCAAGCCCAUUUGUAGAUUCUAAUAUAUCCCCUGCUAGCCUCAAGAAGAACCAUCUGAGCAUAGGGGAAUCCCAUUCGCAAGCUGGCUGACUUGGUGCAGUGACAGACAAGGAGAAGGUGUGGAAGGAGGAUCCCCAAAUCCCCAUGCCAUGAGCCCUGGAAUUGGUGUAGGUCACAGCUGCAGCUCCAGUUCAGGCCCAGGCCCUGGAACUUUCAUAUGCCAUGGGUAUGACUAUUAACAAAAAAGCUUGAUUUUAACCCACUAGGACCAUAGCAGACUUUGAACUACAGAAUUAUAAAGUACCAAGUUUCCCCAGCUCUGGUUCUAGCAUGGAAAACCUCCAGAUGCAGGAGCAUCAAAGUGCAAAUUUAUUUAUACAAUUUCAUAUCCCUGGGAAGUCCUACCAAUGCUGUGAGAACAGGACAUGGAAUGGCACAAAUUUUCAUAAAUGUAUUCCCAGUGCCCUGGAUUAAGAAAUUAGAAAAAAUCAAUCAAUCAAGAAAUCUCAAUUUCUGCUUCAUUGGCCAAGAAAGUUGGGAGGAUGCUGUUUAAUUUCUGGGGUUUUCUCUGCCAGGGAAUCUUUUCCUCACAGACUGUUAAAUCUGUAUGUUAUACCCGCAUGUGGCAGUGUAGAGUCUCUCUGCAGUU
RNAcentral lists this long non-coding RNA (6551 nucleotides) under Sus scrofa (pig). RNAcentral's name for it is "lncRNA (ENSSSCG00030066385.1)". The record is from RNAcentral. Lineage: Eukaryota; Metazoa; Chordata; Mammalia; Artiodactyla; Suidae.